This 213-nucleotide long non-coding RNA is filed under the name Olea europaea (common olive). Its description in RNAcentral is "long non-coding RNA (OEUR_LNC008593)". The record is from RNAcentral. Lineage: Eukaryota; Viridiplantae; Streptophyta; Magnoliopsida; Lamiales; Oleaceae.
UUUAGAGCUAUUGAUUGUGAUUUUGUUUGACGUUUUUAUUAUCGAUGGCAAUCAUCAGUUAUGAAAUUUCGAUUUUGGAUCGCAAUACAAGAUUUUCUUUGUCGCAAGUGAAAAUGAAAGCUAUAUUAGUGUAGAUGAAUUUAGAUGAUGCGUUCUUGAGAUUUGACAAGAUGCCAGCAACUUGGACAACAGAGAAAUAUCAACAGAAGGAUU